CACAAGGGGUGAAGCCUGCGGUUCAAUUGGAGUCAACGCCAGAAAUCUUACCCGGAGAGACAGCAGAAUGAAGGUCAAGCUGAAGACUUUACCAGACAAGCUGAGAGGUGGUGCAUGGCCGUCGCCAGCUCGUGCCGUGAGAUGUCCUGUUAAGUCAGGUAACGAGCGAGAUCCCUGCCUCUAGUUGCCACCAUUACUCUCAGGAGUAGUGGGGCGAAUUAGCGGGACCGCCGCAGUUAAUGCGGAGGAAGGAAGGGGCCACGGCAGGUCAGUAUGCCCCGAAACUCUGGGGCCACACGCGGGCUGCAAUGGUAGCGACAAUUGGUUUCGAAUCCGAAAGGAUGAGGUAAUCCACAAACGCUACCACAGUUAUGACUGAGGGCUGCAACUCGCCCUCACGAAUAUGGAAUCCCUAGUAACUGCGUGUCAUUAUCGCGCGGUGAAUACGUCCCUGCUCCUUGCACACACCGCCCGUCGUUUCAUUGAAGUGAGCUUUUAGCGAGGUGACGUCUGAUUGGCGUUAUCGAACUUGAGGUUCGUGACAAGGGAAAAGUCGUAACAAGGUGACCGUAGGGGAACCUGCGGUCGGAUCACCUCCUU
This 600-nucleotide ribosomal RNA is filed under the name uncultured marine crenarchaeote. RNAcentral describes it as "bacterial SSU rRNA". It matches the Rfam family "Archaeal small subunit ribosomal RNA", at positions 880 to 1478 of the family's 1478-position model. The record is from RNAcentral. Lineage: Archaea; Thermoproteati; Thermoproteota.